RNAcentral lists this ribosomal RNA (2990 nucleotides) under Salmonella enterica. Its description in RNAcentral is "bacterial LSU rRNA". It matches the Rfam family "Bacterial large subunit ribosomal RNA". RNAcentral also lists the same sequence under 3 other names. Lineage: Bacteria; Pseudomonadati; Pseudomonadota; Gammaproteobacteria; Enterobacterales; Enterobacteriaceae. The record is from RNAcentral.
UUAAGCGACUAAGCGUACACGGUGGAUGCCCUGGCAGUCAGAGGCGAUGAAGGGCGUGCUAAUCUGCGAUAAGCGCCGGUAAGGUGAUAUGAACCGUUAUAACCGGCGAUACCCGAAUGGGGAAACCCAGUGUGAUUCGUCACACUAUCAUUAACUGAAUCCAUAGGUUAAUGAGGCGAACCGGGGGAACUGAAACAUCUAAGUACCCCGAGGAAAAGAAAUCAACCGAGAUUCCCCCAGUAGCGGCGAGCGAACGGGGAGGAGCCCAGAGCCUGAAUCAGCAUGUGUGUUAGUGGAAGCGUCUGGAAAGGUGCGCGAUACAGGGUGACAGCCCCGUACACAAAAGCGCAUGUGCUGUGAGCUCGAUGAGUAGGGCGGGACACGUGGUAUCCUGUCUGAAUAUGGGGGGACCAUCCUCCAAGGCUAAAUACUCCUGACUGACCGAUAGUGAACCAGUACCGUGAGGGAAAGGCGAAAAGAACCCCGGCGAGGGGAGUGAAAAAGAACCUGAAACCGUGUACGUACAAGCAGUGGGAGCACAGGUUUACCUGUGUGACUGCGUACCUUUUGUAUAAUGGGUCAGCGACUUAUAUUCUGUAGCAAGGUUAACCGUAUAGGGGAGCCGUAGGGAAACCGAGUCUUAACCGGGCGUUAAGUUGCAGGGUAUAGACCCGAAACCCGGUGAUCUAGCCAUGGGCAGGUUGAAGGUUGGGUAACACUAACUGGAGGACCGAACCGACUAAUGUUGAAAAAUUAGCGGAUGACCUGUGGCUGGGGGUGAAAGGCCAAUCAAACCGGGAGAUAGCUGGUUCUCCCCGAAAGCUAUUUAGGUAGCGCCUCGUGAAUUCAUCUCCGGGGGUAGAGCACUGUUUCGGCUAGGGGGCCAUCCCGGCUUACCAACCCGAUGCAAACUGCGAAUACCGGAGAAUGUUAUCACGGGAGACACACGGCGGGUGCUAACGUCCGUCGUGAAGAGGGAAACAACCCAGACCGCCAGCUAAGGUCCCAAAGUCAUGGUUAAGUGGGAAACGAUGUGGGAAGGCCCAGACAGCCAGGAUGUUGGCUUAGAAGCAGCCAUCAUUUAAAGAAAGCGUAAUAGCUCACUGGUCGAGUCGGCCUGCGCGGAAGAUGUAACGGGGCUAAACCAUGCACCGAAGCUGCGGCAGCGAACGUAUCACCCAAGACAACUUUACGGAGUUGACGAUUGACGGAGCGAAGCGACGUCAAAGCGUUCAUUAAAGUCGAGUUGGCUUAGGGAUACGUUCGUUGGGUAGGGGAGCGUUCUGUAAGCCUGUGAAGGUGUGUCGUGAGGCAUGCUGGAGGUAUCAGAAGUGCGAAUGCUGACAUAAGUAACGAUAAAGCGGGUGAAAAGCCCGCUCGCCGGAAGACCAAGGGUUCCUGUCCAACGUUAAUCGGGGCAGGGUGAGUCGACCCCUAAGGCGAGGCCGAAAGGCGUAGUCGAUGGGAAACGGGUUAAUAUUCCCGUACUUGGUGUUACUGCGAAGGGGGGACGGAGAAGGCUAUGUUGGCCGGGCGACGGUUGUCCCGGUUUAAGCGUGUAGGUGUGUGUUCCAGGUAAAUCCGGUUCACUUUAACACUGAGGCGUGACGACGAGGCACUACGGUGCUGAAGCAACAAAUGCCCUGCUUCCAGGAAAAGCCUCUAAGCAUCAGGUAACACGAAAUCGUACCCCAAACCGACACAGGUGGUCAGGUAGAGAAUACCAAGGCGCUUGAGAGAACUCGGGUGAAGGAACUAGGCAAAAUGGUGCCGUAACUUCGGGAGAAGGCACGCUGACACGUAGGUGAAGUGAUUUACUCAUGGAGCUGAAGUCAGUCGAAGAUACCAGCUGGCUGCAACUGUUUAUUAAAAACACAGCACUGUGCAAACACGAAAGUGGACGUAUACGGUGUGACGCCUGCCCGGUGCCGGAAGGUUAAUUGAUGGGGUCAGCGCAAGCGAAGCUCCUGAUCGAAGCCCCGGUAAACGGCGGCCGUAACUAUAACGGUCCUAAGGUAGCGAAAUUCCUUGUCGGGUAAGUUCCGACCUGCACGAAUGGCGUAAUGAUGGCCAGGCUGUCUCCACCCGAGACUCAGUGAAAUUGAACUCGCUGUGAAGAUGCAGUGUACCCGCGGCAAGACGGAAAGACCCCGUGAACCUUUACUAUAGCUUGACACUGAACAUUGAGCCUUGAUGUGUAGGAUAGGUGGGAGGCUUUGAAGUGUGGACGCCAGUCUGCAUGGAGCCGACCUUGAAAUACCACCCUUUAAUGUUUGAUGUUCUAACGUGGACCCGUAAUCCGGGUUGCGGACAGUGUCUGGUGGGUAGUUUGACUGGGGCGGUCUCCUCCUAAAGAGUAACGGAGGAGCACGAAGGUUGGCUAAUCCUGGUCGGACAUCAGGAGGUUAGUGCAAUGGCAUAAGCCAGCUUGACUGCGAGCGUGACGGCGCGAGCAGGUGCGAAAGCAGGUCAUAGUGAUCCGGUGGUUCUGAAUGGAAGGGCCAUCGCUCAACGGAUAAAAGGUACUCCGGGGAUAACAGGCUGAUACCGCCCAAGAGUUCAUAUCGACGGCGGUGUUUGGCACCUCGAUGUCGGCUCAUCACAUCCUGGGGCUGAAGUAGGUCCCAAGGGUAUGGCUGUUCGCCAUUUAAAGUGGUACGCGAGCUGGGUUUAGAACGUCGUGAGACAGUUCGGUCCCUAUCUGCCGUGGGCGCUGGAGAACUGAGGGGGGCUGCUCCUAGUACGAGAGGACCGGAGUGGACGCAUCACUGGUGUUCGGGUUGUCAUGCCAAUGGCACUGCCCGGUAGCUAAAUGCGGAAGAGAUAAGUGCUGAAAGCAUCUAAGCACGAAACUUGCCCCGAGAUGAGUUCUCCCUGAGACUUAGAGUCUCCUGAAGGAACGUUGAAGACGACGACGUUGAUAGGCCGGGUGUGUAAGCGCAGCGAUGCGUUGAGCUAACCGGUACUAAUGAACCGUGAGGCUUAACCUU